Molecule: ribosomal RNA, 253 nt
Filed under: uncultured bacterium
Lineage: Bacteria
Description: partial 16S ribosomal RNA
Rfam family: Bacterial small subunit ribosomal RNA
Source: RNAcentral
UACGUAGGGUGCAAGCGUUAAUCGGAAUCAUUGGGCGUAAAGCGCGUGUAGGCGGCUUCGUAAGUCCGUUGUGAAAGUCCAGGGCUCAACCCUGGAAUGCCGAUGGAUACUGCGGAGCUAGAGUCCGGAAGAGGCGAGUGGAAUUCCUGGUGUAGCGGUGAAAUGCGCAGAUAUCAGGAGGAACACCAAUGGCGAAGGCAGCUCGCUGGGACGGUACUGACGCUGAGACGCGAAAGCGUGGGGAGCAAACAGG